AUUUAUGAAAAAAUAAGAAGUGAAAGUAUUCUCUGACUGCAAGUAUGACCACCUGUCUUUCUAUAUCAGAACCCAAGCUAAAAGACUGCAUUUACUACCCUUCCUUGCUAACAAGAGUGACUACGUGACUAUGUUCUGGCCAAUGCAAACAGCCUGAAAAGCUGAUGUAAUGACUGGAUCUUCAGCAGCCACCUUGAGCAAGAGGUAGAAGCUAGAGGCUGAGGAAUGAUGGAGCAGAAAGGAAGGAGCUGGGGUUCCUAUUAACAUCCUGAAGCUACACUAUCAGGCCUGGACUGACCAACUCUUUCUGGCCUUCUUUUACAAGAGAAAAAUACAGUUAUUUAAACCACUAUACUUCUGUUUUCUUUUUUGGGGUAUAGAUAACUGAACCUAAUCCUGUCCCAAAUCCUGAUCCUAUCUAACCAGUGUUAGCUAUCAGCCCAUACGUAUACUGGAGAAUGACGUUUAACAAAAUAAGAUGUUAAAGUUCUAACUAAUUGUAAUAAUCAUGCAGUUUUCUCAUGCUGAACAAAGUUAAAGAAAUAUAAUGUGUGUUUCCUAAAGAGUGUCAUUUUUUGGAAAGAUAACAUGGGGCACAAAGUAACAUAAAAAUCUACAUAUAAUUAUGUAAACAUUGCUUUGACAUACAACACCAAAUAUUUUUAUUGUAUUUGUGAAUGCAUUUCUUGGUAAUAAAACGGCAGUUAUGAAUAA
This is a long non-coding RNA of Homo sapiens (human), 714 nucleotides long. Ensembl annotates it as LANCL1 antisense RNA 1. Its record names the gene LANCL1-AS1. The record is from Ensembl. NCBI's taxonomy places the organism in Eukaryota, Metazoa, Chordata, Mammalia, Primates, Hominidae.